Molecule: long non-coding RNA, 427 nt
Filed under: Mytilus galloprovincialis (Mediterranean mussel)
Lineage: Eukaryota; Metazoa; Mollusca; Bivalvia; Mytilida; Mytilidae
Source: RNAcentral
GUUUUAUUUUCAUUUCUUUAUUGCUGUAACAACAAUAAAACAUUUAUAAAAGAUGAAAUACAUUGUAAUGAUAAAGAGAUAAGUCAAGUUUUAUUUACAAAACAAUCUGGUUACUCUACUGGUUGUUCCUUAUAAGCCCAUUAAUUUUGUCUGAAAGUGCAGGACUUAAGGAUGUACUUAGGUGAGGUUUGGUAAAAAUUAGGAAAUUAAGAAGUUAAAAUUGAUACAUGUACUAUAAGCUGGUAGAGCAUCAAUUAAGGAUAAAUAUAAGCUAAAAAUAUUGAUAGGUCAUGGACCUCCUUUUCGAGAUAUUUGACAUUUAAAAUAUGGCGGGAAAAGACUGACUCUGACUUUUACCUUACAUUUGCAUUGGUAUCAUUUGAGUCUCAAAACAAAAGAAAGAAAAUCAAGAAUCUUCUAAAAUCUU